GGGGAUGUAGCUCAGUGGUAGAGCACUUGCCUAGCAUGCCCCAUGGUCCUGGGUUCAAUCCCCAGCAUUCCAA
RNAcentral lists this transfer RNA (73 nucleotides) under Ictidomys tridecemlineatus (thirteen-lined ground squirrel). RNAcentral's name for it is "Spermophilus tridecemlineatus (thirteen-lined ground squirrel) tRNA". It matches the Rfam family "tRNA". From Rfam's summary of the family: Transfer RNA (tRNA) molecules are approximately 80 nucleotides in length. Their secondary structure includes four short double-helical elements and three loops (D, anti-codon, and T loops). Lineage: Eukaryota; Metazoa; Chordata; Mammalia; Rodentia; Sciuridae. The record is from Rfam by way of RNAcentral.